GGCGGCAUACCUCAGUUGGUAGAGGAGUUCCCUUAUAAGGUUCCAGUCGCGGGUUCGAGCCCCGCUGCCGCUAC
This 74-nucleotide transfer RNA is filed under the name Streptomyces phage KimJongPhill. Its description in RNAcentral is "tRNA-Ile". It matches the Rfam family "tRNA". From Rfam's summary of the family: Transfer RNA (tRNA) molecules are approximately 80 nucleotides in length. Their secondary structure includes four short double-helical elements and three loops (D, anti-codon, and T loops). Lineage: Duplodnaviria; Heunggongvirae; Uroviricota; Caudoviricetes. The record is from RNAcentral.